GAUUUUAAAGCUAUAUAAGCAUUUCACUUACACUGAAAAGACAGAAAUACCAAACAUUU
This 59-nucleotide transfer RNA is filed under the name Araneus ventricosus. RNAcentral's name for it is "tRNA-Val". Lineage: Eukaryota; Metazoa; Arthropoda; Arachnida; Araneae; Araneidae. The record is from RNAcentral.